GGCUUUUAUGGGCAGUCUGACCUCAAGGGUAACAAGCAGGUGACAGAGGCGCACCCUACAUUUUCCAAACUAAAAGUUAAGCACAGGUUUAUUUUGUUAGAAAAGGGGAGGGUUUUUUUUUCUUUUCUUUUUUAAUACUGUCAUUAUUGUCUUUAUCUUGUACCUGAUGUGCUGCCGACCCUUGUUUGUUGGCAGGUUCUUUGGAGUCUACCGAGCCCACGUAUAUAUCUAAAGUGCAGGGCACAGGAAUCACCCCACCUCCAACUCCUACAUCAAGUCAUUCUAAACACAGAUUUCCUGGACAAAAGUUAUUUAGAAGGUCUUUAAGGAAUUCAGAUGGUUUCAGUGAGACCAGCUCGGUGAGUCAUGCUGAUGAUCUGGACAGAGGAGAGCCACGACCUGGCAGUUCACUGGUCGGCCAAGAGAAUGCCGAGCAGCCGGACGAGAUGGAAAUUCUUAGCCAGGAAACAACUGAAGACACCCCGGGAGACAAGACCAGGACCCCAGGAACGGACUACAGUACAUCUGAGGGACACGAGAGUUUGAGAUAAAAUUCUAGAUGCUGCACAUUCAGACUACAGAAAAUGCACUCCCUCUGUAGCAGGGUCCUUUAAAGAUUAAAAUGUGAACAGUGCCAUAGUUAGUACAGUGAUACCUACUGUUAACAUGUGAUUGGAGAUUUUGCACAAAGAUUAGCAGAAGAAUUCUUCUCUCCUCCACCCUUUAACCUGCUUGUGGGGCCUUGUUUUUACUGUACACUUUGUUAACAAUCCCUCUUUGUCCUUUCGUACAUUCACACGUCCGAGGAAGUUUGCAAGGGACAGUUUCAACUUGACUUUGGGGGCAUCCUAAAGAAGGAUUUGUUUGUUAUUAUUAUUAUUAUUAUCAGCCGUGCUCUUCCCAAAUAUCUCAUUUCUCAAAAGAUAAGUUGCACUCGGUGCUUUUGGAUGGUGAUAUUCAAACAUUUCUAAUUUCUGUUAAAUAAAUCAACCUGUGAUUACUCUAUUAUGUUGAAAUGUUGUAUUUUAAUAGGAAAACAAUGUCCAUAGCCAACCUGUCUUUUAAACCUUAGCUUUGUUUUAUGAAAAUCUUAUUUCAGAAUUUUGCUUCAUGUGUUCCGUGAUAGAAAAGCGAACCUUUGCUGUGGUUUUUCUCUUUCCCACAUGUAGUAAGGUUAUAAGAGAAUGUCCAAGGCCCGUGUUUUCUAAUAAAUCCUUUCUGUAGCCUCUCCUGGGAGCUAAUAACCUGUCUUCCAUUUCUCGACUUAAAAAGCCAUUUAGAAUCAAAUUCAAAUGGCACGUUUUGCAUCAAGAGUCGCAAUCACCCUGGCUCUUUUACGUUGCAUCUCUUUUGACAGAUGUUGGUAAAACACUUGAAUUGACAUGUCACACCCCUGUGAUCAUUCCUGUACUCCUGGGUUUUUCUGAUCAAUCGCUUCCAGUUGUUAGAUAUUGUAAAUAGCCAAAGAAAUUAUUAGGUUAUAUAAAUGCUGCUGUGCUAUUUUAAAAAGAUAGAUGUCCUAAGCUUUUUGUUUUAAAGCCAAGAGCAUUCAGGAAUGUAUUUCUCCCCGUUGUAAUUAUGCCUUCACUUUAGUGAGUGACUUCUUUUCCUCUGGCGCUUGCAUCUCAUCACACCCAGAGGACCGUAAUUGUAAGAGUGACCUGACGUGAUUAAUUUUCUUCUGAAACCUUGAUCAGUUGUUUGAAGGUCACAUGGUUAAGAAUGGCAACUUUGCCAAAAGGAUGAGUAAUCCUAUUUCAUGAAGGCCUUUCUUACGGUCGAUGGCUUGCUUCUUGUGGUUUUCUUGUUUGUGCAAAAUUAAGUACAGCCAGCCCUAACACCCCACCCCGACAGAGGAGAUGGAUUUAGGAGCACCUCUUAUAAAAAGACAUGCCCACCACUGCAACAGUUUCUGUUUGCCACCAUAAAUAAUCCAGUAUUACAGGGAUUGGAGGGGAAAAAAUUAAGUACAAUCUUUAUGGCAACAUCUGGUUUAUGCUUCAUCUCACCAAGCCCAUUUUCUUCUUCAAGGACCUCAACUGGAUUGGGCUUACAGUAGUCUCCAGAGAAUUUUGUCAGUGGAUUUUGACAAAAUGGUUGUGGGGUUUGGGCACUGGUUUAGGAUGUUUCGAUUGAGGGCUGUUUGUUCAAUGUCCAUUAAAUAUUUCCUCAUCGCUCUCCAAAAUGCAAGAGGCUGGGAAAUCUUCAUUUAAAACAUGGACUUGCUUUGAUAAGCUCACGUUGGUUCCCCAAAUAAAGGUGGACCUUUAAAAUGCAAAUGUAAUUAUUGUCUUCCGUGACAGUUUAUUUGAUGCAACGAAUUAUAAUUAACUUGGAUUAACUGAGGGAGAAAAAGUAAAAGUUAUAAUUGUUAAAACAAACUUUAAUGUUUUUAUAUUUUUAAGCAGGCAGUUUUGCUGGAAUACAGACCUGAUUUAGAUACUUCCCAAAUGCUUCAAUAAAGGUUCUUGAAAUUGUUA
Non-coding RNA from Pogona vitticeps (central bearded dragon), 2480 nucleotides. NCBI's taxonomy places the organism in Eukaryota, Metazoa, Chordata, Lepidosauria, Squamata, Agamidae. The record is from RefSeq and is a predicted model, not a curated record.